GCCUGGGUGGCUCAGUCGGUUGAGCGUCCGACUUCGGCUCAGGUCAUGAUCUCACAGUUCGUGGGUUCGAGCCCCGCAUUGGGCU
RNAcentral lists this transfer RNA (85 nucleotides) under Felis catus (domestic cat). It matches the Rfam family "tRNA". Rfam says of the family: Transfer RNA (tRNA) molecules are approximately 80 nucleotides in length. Their secondary structure includes four short double-helical elements and three loops (D, anti-codon, and T loops). Lineage: Eukaryota; Metazoa; Chordata; Mammalia; Carnivora; Felidae. The record is from Rfam by way of RNAcentral.